GUUGUGGUUAAAAAGCUCGUAGUUGAACCUUGGGCCUGGCUGGCCGGUCCGCCUCACCGCGUGUACUGGUCCGGCCGGGCCUUUCCCUCUGUGGAACCCCAUGCCCUUCACUGGGUGUGGCGGGGAAACAGGACUUUUACUUUGAAAAAAUUAGAGUGCUCCAGGCAGGCCUAUGCUCGAAUACAUUAGCAUGGAAUAAUAGAAUAGGACGUGUGGUUCUAUUUUGUUGGUUUCUAGGACCGCCGUAAUGAUUAAUAGGGACAGUCGGGGGCAUCAGUAUUCAAUUGUCAGAGGUGAAAUUCUUGGAUUUAUUGAAGACUAACUACUGCGAAAGCAUUUGCCAAGGAUGUUUUCAUUAAUCAGGAACGAAAGUUAGGGGAUCGAAGACGAUCAGAUACCGUCGUAGUCUUAACCAUAAACUAUGCCGACUAGGGAUCGGACGGUGUUAUUUUUUGACCCGUUCGGCACCUUACGAGAAAUCAAAGUGCUUGGGCUCCAGGGGGAGUAUGGUCGCAAGGCUGAAACUUAAAGAAAUUGACGGAAGGGCACCACCAGGGGUGGAGCCUGCGGCUUAAUUUGACUCAACACGGGGAAACUCACCAGGUCCAGACACAAUGAGGAUUGACAGAUUGAGAGCUCUUUCUUGAUUUUGUGGGUGGUGGUGCAUGGCCGUUCUUAGUUGGUGGAGUGAUUUGUCUGCUUAAUUGCGAUAACGAACGAGACCUUAACCUGCUAAAUAGCCCGUAUUGCUUUGGCAGUACGCUGGCUUCUUAGAGGGACUAUCGGCUCAAGCCGAUGGAGUUUGAGCAUAACAGUCUGUGAUGCCCUAGAUGUCUGGGCGCACGCGCGCUACACUGAC
This 859-nucleotide ribosomal RNA is filed under the name uncultured fungus. Its description in RNAcentral is "SSU rRNA". It matches the Rfam family "Eukaryotic small subunit ribosomal RNA", at positions 612 to 1507 of the family's 1831-position model. The record is from RNAcentral. Lineage: Eukaryota; Fungi.